GAUGAACGCUAGCUACAGGCUUAACACAUGCAAGUCGAGGGGAAACGACAUCGAAAGCUUGCUUUGAUGGGCGUCGACCGGCGCACGGGUGAGUAACGCGUAUCCAACCUGCCCACCACUUGGGGAUAACCUUGCGAAAGUAAGACUAAUACCCGAUGAUAUCCCUAGAAGACAUCUGAAAGGGAUUAAAGAUUUAUCGGUGAUGGAUGGGGAUGCGUCUGAUUAGCUUGUUGGCGGGGUAACGGCCCACCAAGGCAACGAUCAGUAGGGGUUCUGAGAGGAAGGUCCCCCACAUUGGAACUGAGACACGGUCCAAACUCCUACGGGAGGCAGCAGUGAGGAAUAUUGGUCAAUGGGCGCAAGCCUGAACCAGCCAAGUAGCGUGAGGGAAGACUGCCCUACGGGUUGUAAACCUCUUUUGUUUGGGAAUAAAGUGCGGGACGUGUCCCGCAUUGCAUGUACCAUUUGAAUAAGGACCGGCUAAUUCCGUG
Molecule: ribosomal RNA, 491 nt
Filed under: uncultured bacterium
Lineage: Bacteria
Description: bacterial SSU rRNA
Rfam family: Bacterial small subunit ribosomal RNA
Source: RNAcentral